GGCGUAAAGCGCAUGCAGGUGGUUUGUUAAGUCAGAUGUGAAAGCCCGGGGCUCAACCUCGGAAUAGCAUUUGAAACUGGCAGACUAGAGUACUGUAGAGGGGGGUAGAAUUUC
This 114-nucleotide ribosomal RNA is filed under the name uncultured bacterium. RNAcentral describes it as "partial 16S ribosomal RNA". It matches the Rfam family "Bacterial small subunit ribosomal RNA", at positions 557 to 670 of the family's 1533-position model. The record is from RNAcentral.